This 545-nucleotide ribosomal RNA is filed under the name uncultured bacterium. Its description in RNAcentral is "bacterial SSU rRNA". It matches the Rfam family "Bacterial small subunit ribosomal RNA", at positions 382 to 917 of the family's 1533-position model. The record is from RNAcentral.
CCUGACGCAGCAACGCCGCGUGGGUGAUGAAGGCCUUUGGGUCGUAAAGCCCUGUCAAGUGGGAAGAACCCGCAUGGUGCGAAUAGUAUCGUGCGCUGACGGUACCACUGAAGGAAGCACCGGCUAACUCCGUGCCAGCAGCCGCGGUAAUACGGGGGGUGCAAGCGUUAUUCGGAAUUAUUGGGCGUAAAGGGCGCGUAGGCGGCCGUUUAAGUCAGAUGUGAAAGCCCGGGGCUCAACCUUGGAAGUGCAUUUGAAACUGAACGGCUUGAGUAUGGGAGAGGGAAGCGGAAUUCCUGGUGUAGAGGUGAAAUUCGUAGAUAUCAGGAGGAACACCUGUGGCGAAGGCGGCUUCCUGGACCAAUACUGACGCUGAGGCGCGAAGGCGUGGGGAGCAAACAGGAUUAGAUACCCUGGUAGUCCACGCAGUAAACGUUGUUCACUAGGUGUAGCGGGUAUUGACCCCUGCUGUGCCGAAGCUAACGCAUUAAGUGAACCGCCUGGGAAGUACGGCCGCAAGGUUAAAACUCAAAGGAAUGGACGGA